AAAUACCCAAGAUUCAUUGCCAUAAUUAUGUCCAGGUGUGUUAGAGUUCCCUAAGGACCUCAAGGAUCCCGAGCAGUGCUCACACCCAGACUUUCUCAAAUAAAGACUGAUUAUGUGCAGUGUGGAAGAGCCAGCCCUGAUAUGCCAGAGUUCAAAAAGAUCUCAAGGACCUCUAUGCAGUACACAUACCAGAGGGGCAGGACUUAAUAACAUAAGGAUAAGGUAGAGUGCUUGACAUGAUUUGAAAGAGUUUUGGUAAAUAGUAUAGAGAGGAUUCUUAGAGGUGAAUAGAUUUUCUGAAAAUCAAUACUAAUUUGGAGGUAAAACAGCUUGAGAAAAGUAUGAAAAAACACUUUUAAGUCAAACACAAAUCACAGAACAACCAUAUUCUUAAACACUUCGCAAGCAAGUUCCACACAAGGAGAGAGGGGUUGGGGACACAUAGAAUACACCUUAGUGUAUAGUAGAGCACAUAAACAACAAGGUGCAUAGAAUUCUCAAGGGGUUUUGCAGAACUAAUAGGUCAGCUAUAAGGUAGGUCACUAAGACAUAGAGCAAGGAUCACAGUAAAGCCACAUUGAAAACACAUGAACACUGGACAGAAUCAAUAACACAACUAGAGUUACCUGAGGGACUAGAUGACUUAGCAUGAGCAAAACAGAAUGGGCAAGAACUUAAAUGGACAGGCUAGGCAAAUAUCAACAAGUAGACAUAGUGUAGGCAUGCUGAACAAAAUAAGAUUUAAACAUGCUAGGUAAAUAAUGGACAGGCCAGCAUAAUUUAGACAUGUUAAUCACAUAUGAAACCAGGCAGUAUUAGGCAUGUUAGAUAAACAGUAGACAAGCAAGUAAGUUGAGACAUGCUAAUCACAUAUUGAACAAGGUGUAUUAGGCAUGCUAGAUAAAUAGUAAAUAGGAGCAGGAAUGAACUUAGGACUGAUGGACUAAGGCAGUAAUGAAACACAUAGGGUUUGGGUUCUAAGAUUUAAUCAGAGGCAUACCAAUUAGGGAAAGAGAACACAAGAUGUAAGAUUGGUGUUGUGCAAUUUCUAGCCUUGGCUUACAGCCGGCAAGACUAAUGAAGAUCACAAGUAGCAGAAGAACAAAGAGCUUUUAGAGUGUAAGAGUAGUGGUGAACUAAUGUUUUUCUGUUAAAAAGUUAAAUACGAGAGUUUAUAUAGUAGUUCAAGAGUAGAGCAAAUAAGGUAAAGUAAUCGAUAAUCAACAAUUAAGGGAUCUCAGAAUCAAUCACACAAAGAGGUUCAGCAUAGUCUUCCCCUUAAUUAAGAGCAAUUAGCCAAUGGUAAUGACAGGAACUAGUUAAGGUAAGAGGUUCAAAUCAGACUGAGUAAAGAAGUAAAGAAUCAAAGGCCAUAUUAAGGAAAGGAGUUCAAAUCAAACCAAAUAAAGAACUUCGACAUAAAAUAAUCAAGGGUUUAAUUAAGGAAAGAAUCAUGUAAAGAAUCAGUAAAUGUACAACAAUCAAAUAAGGCAAGAACGACUAAUUAAGGUCAUAAACAUAGAAAUAAUCAAGAAUCAUGCACCCGAAUUUUUUAGCAGAGCAAAUCACUUAACAAUUCUUGAAAGAACAUAUCAAUUCCCAUAAACAAAAAGGUUGAGUAAAAUUUUUAGGAACACAGAGAAAUUAGAUGGAAAAUAAUUCAAAAACCCCUAAUUUGAAAACACUUAAAGAAGGAAAACAACCAUAGAAAACUUGAAAGCACAUCGACACACAGAGAUUCAAACAACAGAAAUCAUAGAAAUCGAAACCUGAAGUAACGUAGUGAUUAAAAAUCCGUUAGUAGUAGAGAAGUAAAAGAACCUAAAAGAAUAGUCGUGGAAGUUUUAAAAUACUUCAGAAUACUCAGAGGUUCGACCAACAAACAACAAGAAAAACAAACUCUAAUAUAACAAAAUGUUCAAAAAUCGAUUAAUUAGUAAAGAAAUAAAGGAGCCUUAAGGAAAAAGCAAUGACGAUCUCAAAUCGCUCCAGAUCUACAAGGAUCUGGACGGAUUCAAGUCCAAAUGCUAAGUUUUGAAGAAAAGAGAAAGGGUAAUGAGAAUCUAGCCUUUGAAUCAAAGAUUUGAGCCGUGAAACUUUGAUAGAAAUCACUCACAGACCACAGACAGACUCUUGAAGAGUUUUAAACGAGAUCUGGACCAGAUCUCUUCGAGGUCCUUCCACAAAACCACAUAAUUGAGCAACCAUGGGAAAUAAGAGACAAGUAAAGGCCUAAUACAGCCAUGGGAAGCCAUAGAUCGGGUAGGAAUCAAAGGGAUUAGGGCUGGUUUUGGGUGGUAGCGGAUAGGGUUAAGUUUGGUCUCAAAGAGAAUUAGAGAGGAGAGGGUUUCAGCGGCGGCGGUUGUAGACAAAUGACUAGGGUUUGGGGGUCAUUGUGACUAAAAAAGGAAAGGGGGAACGAUGGUCGUUGAUCUCUGUGAUCAAUGGUUAGGAUUAAAAGGAUUUGGGGCCGAGUUAAAUGUUAUGGGUUUGGGCUGGGUAGAUUUGGGCUGGUGUGGGAUUGAAUUUGGGCAUUUAAUUAGGCUAGGUCCAAAAUAGAAAAGGCUAUUUGUUACAUACCCAUUUAAUUGAUAAAAUAAUUUUUUAAAUAACUAAUAGGUUGUAAAAAAUGAUUUUCAUGCCUGGAAAUAUUUUAAAAUAAUUACUUAAUAUUUUAAAAAUAUAAAAGGCUAUUUUCUAGUAAAAUAAUGUAAUAAUGCAUUCAUAAGCUAUAAUUACAAAGUAAUUGCAAUUGCAUCCUAAAAAUACAAAUAUGGCUAUUUGUGCAAUAAUUGAAACUUUCUGCAAAUGAUAAAAUUAAGCCACAAAAAAAUUAUUAUAAAACUAUUUGUGAUGCAAUCAGUGAUUGUUUUAUAAAUAAAAUGUUGGGAAAAAUUAAUUAAAAUAUUUUAAAAAUGCAGAAAUUGUAUGAAAAAUAAUAAUUGAUGCCCAGGCAUAAUUUUGAAAAUAUUAUGAGAAAAAUUGGGUAUCAACAUACAUAACAUCCACCCCUUUUAUUAUCUACGACAAAUUAUAUUGGUCAUUAGUCAAUUGACAUAGUCGUACUCAUUAAUUAAACUCACAUCCCUACCUCAAACAGUAAUCAAUCUCAACUAUAUCUGUAUGACUGAUCCAAGAUGUGAACACAUCGCUAAAUCAGUAUGCCUAUCUCGUGCUUGACUGACCCCGGCAUGUACAUAGACUAGUAAUCAGAACCAUCGCGAGAAGCACACCACCGGAAAUCAUCAACUUUACUAUUAGAUUUUAUAGUUAAAAGCUACAAAAUUCUCUAACAUGUCAACUUAGGAUUUAGGAAAAGCCGCAUAAUCAUAGGUAAGGGACGCAAUUAUCUUUAUUCUCAAUACAAUUAUCAAAUAUAUCGACUCAAAUCAGAUCUAAGUUCUAACAUAAUGCAAAAGCAUUAAUCAAACAUUGAAACUACUGGACUUACAAAUUAAAAUGAUGAACUUUGGACUUUGUGGAAAAGGAAAUAAAAGAACUAAAGAUCCAUCAUGUCCAUCUGCAAGAUAAAAAUAAAGAGCUUAUGCUUUAUGCAUUAAAUAUGGACAACAUCAAAUGUGGAUGUCCACCAAAAAAUAGAAAAAUGAAAAUGUGCUUCCUCUAAACUUUUGAAUAUCUCCGAAAUGAUUUCAUAUAAAAGGCCAGAAAGUAACAAAAUAUCAUAGCACAAUAUUAUUUUUUGGUAGAAAACCUUCAAAAGUUAUUACUUCAGAAGAAAAUUUAACAGGGGAAGGAUCAUGAAUUUGAUGAACCUAAGGAGAAUUAGACAGUUAAAAAGAUUUUCAUUGAUCAGAAAUAGGUACAAUAGUGUAGUAACAACGUAUAGAUAUCAUGUCAGUCAUAUAUCCUGCUUCUUAAUACAAUAUCUUUGUGUGGCAUUUUAUCGAACACCAAACAAGCUGCUUGAAUUUUUCCUCUAGAAGCAAAUACAACCAGUGAUAUAGUAAGAAACAAAUGAAUCAUAAUCAAAUCAAAUUUCCUAUCAUUUUAUCAAAGUACUUUAUUAUAUUGUGAUUUUCCAGCAGAACUAGACUUCUAUAUACACAUAAAGAAAAAAAAUUACUUCUUAGAUGAAACAAGAAAUACAACAAAAACCCUAAGAAUUAUUUUUGGGAUCAAGAAUUUGUGUAAUGGUAAAAGUAGAGCAUCACUCAUCUUCAUGAGACGAUAGUUGCAGAUCGCUCAAAAUAUAUUAAAUAAGCAAUAAAUACUCGAAAAAUAAAAUAAAUUAGAGUAAGAAAUGAUAGCAUACCUGGGAGACCAACGUAGGUUGUAUUACAAGAGUUGUAGCAACUGAAUCCAUGAGUAGUGAUGAUCUCUAUGUUGUUCCUAUAAUAAGAGAGUAUCAUAGCCAUUUGAACUAUAAGGGAGACAUUGUGGACGGAAGGAGUUACAGAAGAGAAGGAAAGGAUCAUAUAGGGUUUUCUUUUGGAGGGAAUAUUAUUUUUAUCUUUCAACUCUUUUGGUGGAAUAUAAAACAGUAAAA
Molecule: long non-coding RNA, 4507 nt
Filed under: Nicotiana tabacum (common tobacco)
Lineage: Eukaryota; Viridiplantae; Streptophyta; Magnoliopsida; Solanales; Solanaceae
Description: long non-coding RNA (NTAB_LNC000413)
Source: RNAcentral